GCAAGUCGAGGGGCAGCAUAGAAGUAGCAAUACAACUGGUGGCGACCGGCGCACGGGUGAGUAACGCGUAUGCAACCUACCUAUCAGAGGGGAAUAACCCGGCGAAAGUCGGACUAAUACCGCAUAAAACAGGGGCACCGCAUGGUGAUAUUUGUUAAAGAAAUUCGCUGAUAGAUGGGCAUGCGUUCCAUUAGGUAGUUGGUGAGGUAACGGCUCACCAAGCCGACGAUGGAUAGGUGAACUGAGAGGUUGGUC
This 255-nucleotide ribosomal RNA is filed under the name uncultured bacterium. Its description in RNAcentral is "partial 16S ribosomal RNA". It matches the Rfam family "Bacterial small subunit ribosomal RNA", at positions 57 to 305 of the family's 1533-position model. The record is from RNAcentral.